AAUGAUAAUUUUGAUUUCUAAGAAAAAAUUCUAUAAAAUAUAUUUUUAAAAGCGUAUUUAUUUUACACAAUUUAUUUUUUUUCCUGAAUGCGAAUAUAAAAGUAUUAAAAAGAUGCGUUCACGCGCUCAAAUUGUUCGUCGAGACACCACCGAACACAUUGAUUCAAUUACACAAAUGUAAAAAAAUUAAAAUCAAAUCCUCUUAAAAGAAUUCUAUUCUUAGUAUACAAAAUAAUAUUCCUGAAUUUUCUUUUUUUGACUGAAAAUAUUAUCUCUGAAAUUGGAUGAGUUCUUAUAAAUCCACUGGUCUGGUUCAUUGGACCUGGUCCAAGCAAUAAUUUCUCUUAGAACAGAGGAGUCCAACGGUCAGUUUUCAUAGAAGUUUCCAAAUUGAACCUACAUGCAAUUAUUUACAGGUAAAUUUCAAAUAUCAUCCCUAUGAUUUCACAAUUUCUCACUCUAGUACCGUAUAAUUUAAAGUAUAUUAUUUUAGUAUCCUAUAAUUUUCGUCAGCAUCUUAGUUAAAUCAUAUAUAAGAAACUUCAGAUACUCCACCUAUGGUUUAUCGAAUAUUCACUUUAGUUUCCUAUAGUUUACCAAAUUUUUACUUUAGUAUCAUGUGAUUUUAACUUUAUCAUUAAUUUAACAAAAAUAUUAAUGAGGGAUAGCGAAAAAGGAAAGAAGAAACUAUAGGAUUCUAAAGUGAUACAUUUUAAACCACGGAGUACUAAAGUGAGAAAAUGCGAAACCCCCUAUUGUGGUAUUUGAAGUGUUUCCAUUAUUUAAAGAAAUAAUAUCUAAUAUUCUGAAAUUUUAAAAUAUCUUAUUUAUUUUUGAAGAACCAAGAUGCUUCUGUUAAUUUUAAAAUAUGUCAUCAAAUAUUCUAAUAAGAUUGGAUUUAAAAAAAUAUUUUAAUUUUAAUAAUUUUAAAAUAAAUUUAAAAUUUUGAAUAGUAAUAAGGAAUAAAUAGGCUAGAGCCUAUUGUUUAA
Molecule: long non-coding RNA, 989 nt
Filed under: Ananas comosus (pineapple)
Lineage: Eukaryota; Viridiplantae; Streptophyta; Magnoliopsida; Poales; Bromeliaceae
Description: long non-coding RNA (ACOM_LNC017461)
Source: RNAcentral